This is a long non-coding RNA of Ipomoea nil (Japanese morning glory), 96 nucleotides long. RefSeq lists it as uncharacterized. NCBI's taxonomy places the organism in Eukaryota, Viridiplantae, Streptophyta, Magnoliopsida, Solanales, Convolvulaceae. The record is from RefSeq and is a predicted model, not a curated record. The transcript is spliced from 3 exons.
AAGUAUUGUAUUAACCCAUUUAUCAAUAAGAUACUUGAACCAUGUGUCUCUCACUUCAUCAAUCUCUUAUUGAUUGUAGCUCAAUGAAACAACUCU